RNAcentral lists this ribosomal RNA (503 nucleotides) under uncultured bacterium. Its description in RNAcentral is "partial 16S ribosomal RNA". It matches the Rfam family "Bacterial small subunit ribosomal RNA", at positions 30 to 523 of the family's 1533-position model. The record is from RNAcentral.
AUUGAACGCUGGCGGCAGGCUUAACACAUGCAAGUCGAGCGGGGUGAUGGUGCUUGCACUAUCACUUAGCGGCGGACGGGUGAGUAAUGCUUAGGAAUCUGCCUAUUAGUGGGGGACAACAUCUCGAAAGGGAUGCUAAUACCGCAUACGUCCUACGGGAGAAAGCAGGGGAUCACUUGUGACCUUGCGCUAAUAAAUGAGCCUAAGUCGGAUUAGCUAGUUGGUGGGGUAAAGGCCUACCAAGGCGACGAUCUGUAGCGGGUCUGAGAGGAUGAUCCGCCAAACUGGGACUGAAACACGGCCCAGACUCCUACGGGAGGCAGCAGUGGGGAAUAUUGGACAAUGGGGGGAACCCUGAUCCAGCCAUGCAGCGUGUGUGAAGAAGGCCUUAUGGUUGUAAAGCACUUUAAGCGAGGAGGAGGCUCUUUUGGUUAAUACCCAAGAUGAGUGGACGUUACUCGCAGAAUAAGCACCGGCUAACUCUGUGCCAGCCGCCGCCGUAA